RNAcentral lists this ribosomal RNA (301 nucleotides) under uncultured bacterium. RNAcentral describes it as "partial 16S ribosomal RNA". It matches the Rfam family "Bacterial small subunit ribosomal RNA", at positions 509 to 807 of the family's 1533-position model. The record is from RNAcentral.
CAGCCGCCGCGGUAAUACGAGGGGGGCAAGCGUUGUCCGGAAUUAUUGGGCGUAAAGGGCGCGUAGGCGGUUUGGCAAGUUUGGUGUGAAAUCUUCGGGCUCAACUCGAAGUCUGCAUCGAAAACUGCCGGGCUUGAGUAUGGGAGAGGUGAGUGGAAUUUCCGGUGUAGCGGUGAAAUGCGUAGAUAUCGGAAGGAACACCUGUGGCGAAAGCGGCUCACUGGACCAUUACUGACGCUGAGGCGCGAAAGCUAGGGGAGCAAACAGGAUUAGAUACCCCUGUAGUCCCUGUCUCUUAUAC